AAAAACAUUAACUUGGGCAAUACUCAGACACUUGGUAGAUUCUAUAUACACUGUACAUGGAGUAAAGAAAAUAAUUAAGGGCUUUGAAGAGAAGAAACAGUCAUUUCAUUGAGCAAAGACAAAACAGCUCAAGAUAUCGUGGGAAAUGGACUGAAGUGUAAGUGUGCUGUCCCCCUGUGAAGCAAACCUACUUCUGGUGCAAGUGGCUUGUAUGUCUUCAUGAUCUACCACCCUCGAAAAGAGAACAGAGAUACUCGAACUGAGGUUACAGCAGGAAAGUACUCUUGUGUGAAUCCUCAUUUAUCCUUUUGUAAUAAAUAGCUUGCACAUCAAA
Vicugna pacos (alpaca) is the source of this 334-nucleotide non-coding RNA. NCBI's taxonomy places the organism in Eukaryota, Metazoa, Chordata, Mammalia, Artiodactyla, Camelidae. The record is from RefSeq and is a predicted model, not a curated record.